This 441-nucleotide ribosomal RNA is filed under the name uncultured bacterium. RNAcentral's name for it is "partial 16S ribosomal RNA". It matches the Rfam family "Bacterial small subunit ribosomal RNA", at positions 338 to 795 of the family's 1533-position model. The record is from RNAcentral.
CCUACGGGGGGCAGCAGUCGGGAAUAUUGCGCAAUGGGGGAAACUCUGACGCAGUGACGCCGCGUAUAGGAAGAAGUUUUUCCGAAUGUUAACCAUCUUCGUUAGGGAAGAGAAAUGACAGUACCUUAGGAGGAAGCUACGGCUAACUACGUGCCAGCAGCCGCGGUAAUACGGAGGAAGCGAGCGUUAUCCGGAAUUAUUGGGUGUAAAGGGAGCGUAGACGGGAAAACAAGUUAGUUGUGAAAGCCCUCGGCUUAACUGAGGAACUGCAACUAAAACUAUUUUUCUUGAGUGCAGGAGAGGUAAGUGGAAUUCCUAGUGUAGCGGUGAAAUGCGUAGAUAUUAGGAGGAACACCAGUGGCGAAGGCGACUUACUGGACUGUAACUGACGUUGAGGCACGAAAGUGUGGGGAGCAAACAGGAUUAGAUACCCUUGUAGUC